UUUAUGGAGAGUUUGAUCCUGGCUCAGGAUGAACGCUGGCGGCGUGCCUAAUACAUGCAAGUCGAGCGAACAGACGAGGAGCUUGCUCCUCUGACGUUAGCGGCGGACGGGUGAGUAACACGUGGAUAACCUACCUAUAAGACUGGGAUAACUUCGGGAAACCGGAGCUAAUACCGGAUAAUAUAUUGAACCGCAUGGUUCAAUAGUGAAAGACGGUUUUGCUGUCACUUAUAGAUGGAUCCGCGCCGCAUUAGCUAGUUGGUA
Molecule: ribosomal RNA, 264 nt
Filed under: Staphylococcus epidermidis
Lineage: Bacteria; Bacillati; Bacillota; Bacilli; Caryophanales; Staphylococcaceae
Description: partial 16S ribosomal RNA
Rfam family: Bacterial small subunit ribosomal RNA
Source: RNAcentral